GACGAACCGUGCGAACGUUAUUCGGAAUCACUGGGCUUAAAGGGAGCGUAGGCGGGCUAUCAAGUCUGGGGUGAAAUCCCGCGGCUCAACCGCGGAACUGCCUCAGAUACUGACGGCCUCGAGGGGGAUAGGGGCAUGCGGAACUGUAGGUGGAGCGGUGAAAUGCGUUGAUAUCUACAGGAACUCCGGUGGCGAAAGCGGCGUGCUGGAUCCCUUCUGACGCUGAGGCUCGAAAGCUAGGGGAGCAAACGGG
This 253-nucleotide ribosomal RNA is filed under the name uncultured bacterium. RNAcentral's name for it is "partial 16S ribosomal RNA". It matches the Rfam family "Bacterial small subunit ribosomal RNA", at positions 524 to 776 of the family's 1533-position model. The record is from RNAcentral.